UGGGGAAUCUUGCGCAAUGGGCGAAAGCCUGACGCAGCAACGCCGCGUGGGGGAUGAAGGCUCUCGGGUUGUAAACCCCUUUCAGUAGGGACGAAAUCUGACGGUACCUACAGAAGAAGCCCCGGCCAACUACGUGCCAGCAGCCGCGGUAACACGUAGGGGGCAAGCGUUGUCCGGAUUUAUUGGGCGUAAAGAGCUCGUAGGCGGUUCGGUAAGUCGGGUGUGAAACCUCCAGGCUCAACCUGGAGACGCCACCCGAUACUGCUGUGACUAGAGUCCGGUAGGGGAGCGUGGAAUUCCUGGUGUAGCGGUGAAAUGCGCAGAUAUCAGGAGGAACACCAGCGGCGAAGGCGGCGCUCUGGGCCGGAACUGACGCUGAGGAGCGAAAGCGUGGGUAGCAAACAGGAUUAGAUACCCCCGUAGUCC
RNAcentral lists this ribosomal RNA (426 nucleotides) under uncultured bacterium. RNAcentral's name for it is "bacterial SSU rRNA". It matches the Rfam family "Bacterial small subunit ribosomal RNA", at positions 355 to 796 of the family's 1533-position model. The record is from RNAcentral.